This 412-nucleotide unclassified non-coding RNA is filed under the name Hevea brasiliensis (rubber tree). Lineage: Eukaryota; Viridiplantae; Streptophyta; Magnoliopsida; Malpighiales; Euphorbiaceae. The record is from RNAcentral.
CUGAUCCUCAAGUCCCCUUCAUCGACCAGCUCGACCGUCUGGAGCGGGUUGUUAUCGGAGGAUUCUGCACUAGUAUCCCACUCUGACUUACUCCCAUCGUACACUUGCAGUCCGCUGUCAGAGAAUACAAGUGCACAAGCAUUGGUGGUGCUCACGGGGGCGCAGUCGGACUCCCAGACGCUUUGCUCGGUGCCGGUGGUGGUGUCUUGAAUUUGGAUGUAGCAGAAGUCGUUGCCGAAUCCCCCUGCUCCAGGGGCGGUUUCGCGGCGGAGAAGAUAGGCGGUGUAUUGGCCAGAAGGGGAGGUGAGGAAUGGGAGGGAGUUAUCUUCCGAGUUAGGUGGGAUGGUGGCGACUAUCUGCUGCUUUGUGGUCCUCUGGAGUGUUCCCGAUGCUGGGGUGGGUUGAGCUUGAG